Molecule: unclassified non-coding RNA, 334 nt
Filed under: soil metagenome
Description: partial contains 5.8S ribosomal RNA, internal transcribed spacer 2, and large subunit ribosomal RNA
Rfam family: 5.8S ribosomal RNA (bases 1-120)
Source: RNAcentral
GAUGAAGAACAUAGCGAAAUGCGAUACGUAAUGUGAAUUGCAGAAUUCAGUGAAUCAUCGAAUCUUUGAACGCACAUUGCGCCUGCCAGCACUCUGGCAGGCAUGCCUGUUCGAGCGUCAUUUCAACCAUCAAGCCCUAGGCUUGCGUUGGAGCCCUGCGGCUGCCGCAGGCCCCUAAAAGCAGUGGCGGGCUCGCUAUCACACCGAGUGCAGUAGAUUACUCUUCGCUCAGGGCGUGUGGCGGGUUCCAGCCGUGAAACCCCCUACUUCUCAAGGUUGACCUCGGAUCAGGUAGGAAUACCCGCUGAACUUAAGCAUAUCAAUAAGCGGAGGA